Molecule: long non-coding RNA, 705 nt
Filed under: Gallus gallus (chicken)
Lineage: Eukaryota; Metazoa; Chordata; Aves; Galliformes; Phasianidae
Source: RNAcentral
AAGUCUGCCUAGAUAAAGGCUAUUGAUGCUAAAAUACAUUGUAAGGGCUAGUUAGUAAUGAGAAUACCUUUUCUGGCACAUCUAGUAGUAUUAUAUUUUUCAUUUAUAAAUGUAUUUCUGGUACUUAGCAGCUUUUGUCAUGUUUGUUUUUAAUAGUGAAUGUUACCUGUUUUUUGGAUAUAGGCAGGAUUUUUGGUAGUUGCAGCAGUUUCACUCAAUCCACACAAAUUUUCACUGAAGACUCGAAAAAAAUACUCAUUUCCCAUGAUCAGGUCUGACACUACGCAGUUUGUACGACGGUAGUGGUCGUAAACAGUGUACCAUUCCAUUGUCUUUUUGUCAGCUUUUUGGACUGUGUAGCCCAAGAUCUGUGCGUUGCCAUCAUCUUGUGGAGGUGUCCACUCCAGGGCAACAUUAAAUCCCCAAACAUCUGCCAGUUUUAUAUUCUGAGGAGGGCCAGGCUUAUCUAUGAUUUGAAUUGUUAUUGCAACUGUAUCUGUCAUAUUUUCUAUUUGAAGAGUGACUUCAUAUGCUCCUGAGUGAUGAAGUUCUGCCUUUCUGAUGAAAAGGAUUGUGUCCGUGCUGCUGUUCCGAAUUCCCACAUCUUUGGAGUCUAGAGUUUGACCAUCUUUCAUCCAACUUAUUUUGGGUCUAGGUUUACCCUGAAAAGGUAUCAUUAUAUUGAUUGUCUCACCCACUUUCUUC